Molecule: long non-coding RNA, 1907 nt
Filed under: Mytilus galloprovincialis (Mediterranean mussel)
Lineage: Eukaryota; Metazoa; Mollusca; Bivalvia; Mytilida; Mytilidae
Source: RNAcentral
AAUAACCUCAUUGGUUGAUAUCUUUGGCGGAAGUACAUGUGAUACAUCCUCAUUCUUUCAAUAUCCAAGCUGUGGGAAGGUCGUGCUCCACGUGUUGUCGGCAAAGUAACUAUAUUCUUUAACUUUUACUUACAUUUGCCUUGGUGGCAAUAUAGCCUUGGUGGCUUUAAGACCUUGGUGGUCAUUUAUAUAUGCCUUGGUGGCAAAAGACCUAGGUGGUCAUUUAUAUAUGCCUUGGUGGCAAUAGACCUAGGUGGUCAUUUUUAUAUGCCUUGGUGGCAAUAGACCUAGGUGGUCAUUUUUAUGAUUUUUUACAUUUGCCUUGAUGGCAACAAUGAAUUAAAAAUACUAGCCUUGGGGGCGUCAAGACCUUGGUGGUCAUUUAUAUUCGCCUUGGCGGCUUCUUGAUAGAACUAGAUGGUAAUGUUUGACCUUGGUGGCAAAAUGUUUUGGGAUUUAGACCUUGGGUAGUUAUUAUCAACCCAGGUGGUCAGAUAUUUUGUUAUGCCGUGCGCCGGUUAAACGCAGGGCAAAGUGCUAUCGCUAUAUAAAAUAUAUGUGGAAGUGGGGGCUCUGGCCAUUUUGGAAAAUUGUAGUUGAAAGGAGAAUAAUAAAUUGUUUAUAGGGUAAAUAGUUUCUUUUGUUACUUUUGACUGUGUUGUGGACUUUUCAUUUAUUUUUACAUCGUACAUACUGAUAGAAAUGCUAUUUAAAGACUUUGUUAGAAAAGAAUAGAAUUAUUGAGAAAGUGGAAUAAUUUAGUGUGACAUGUCACUUGAUAUUCAUGUUUUUUUAUCGGAGUGAUGUGUAUUGAAUUAUAAGGUGUCUUCGUCGAGGUCCGCGUUCAGCGGUCUGUUUGAUUGUACAUAGAAUUGAAUAGAAUGUUUUUGUUUUCAGAUGGUGUUACCUACAGCUUUGACAGGGUGACGAAUGAAGGAGAAGUAAUAUGACAUUGCACGAUGAUUCAUGUCAAUGAGUUCGAACAACCUUUUUAAAAGGAAAGGAUUUUUUCUAAUCAGAAUAUGGUGAGAACAAAUUGCAAUUGAAGUAAUGUUUUGAUUUCUGAAAAUAGGAAAAUAAUGAAUGGGGAAAAUAUUGAUACUACACUAAAUUAUGUAUGUCUGUGUUGAGAAAGGCAGAAGAUGCCAAUAUGGCACGGUACUAAAAAAAAAAAAAAAAAAAAAUCUGUGAUGGAAGCAGCUUUUUAUGUUCAAAUGAACCUAUUUAAAAGUAAUGCUAAUAAUUUUUCCGUAAUUUCAUGAUGUUUUCUAUUGGAUGUGUAUUUAAUUUCAUUGAUGUGUUGAAAUAUGUCACAAAAAUUUUUUUGUCAUGGGAGAUUAAAUAAUGGUUGCAAUAUUUUUGUUUUGUUUUGUUUUGUUUUAUCUAAAUUAAUAAAUAAAUAUAAUGUUGAAUGAUUUUGUAUACUAGUACAAAUGUAUACUUAAAUUUUAUGUAUGGUUAAAUUUUUUAAUUUAAAUUUCUUUGUCUACAGUUCGAGGGACACUGAUUCCCUAGUGGUUUUCCACGUGGAUUGUAGGCAAAGGGAUUUUUCCUUUUCAAAGUGUGACUAAUGCUGUCUUUAGUACAAAUAAACAAUUUGUUAUUGGUUAAUAUAUUUUCAGCAGACAUGUGAAGAAUCGAGUGGAAAUACAAUUGUCAAUGUUCCUGAUUAUGAAGUAAAGAGUGUGUUUGAUUCAACAACAGUAAAGAAAGAGACAAGCCAGCAUAGUUUACACUUGGAGGUUAAGUCCCUUUGCUUACAAGCUUUCCACAUGCUGAAGAUGUUAUUAGAAUAAUGACAAUGUUCAUUUUGAUAUGAGUUCAUUGCCUUAACUCAACUUUUAAAAGUCCGUAUGUGGUCAAAUUCAUGAGAAUUUAUUGAAUUAUGAACGAUUUAUAAAGAACUG